AGAGUUUGAUUAUGGCUCAGAACGAACGCUGGCGGCAUGCCUAACACAUGCAAGUCGAACGGGAUCCGGACUUCGGUUCGGUGAGAGUGGCGGACGGGUGAGUAACGCGUGGGAACCUGCCCAGUGGUGGGGGAUAACUGCGGGAAACUGCAGCUAAUACCGCAUGAGCCCGAGAGGGGAAAGAUUUAUCGCCAUUGGAGGGGCCCGCGUUCGAUUAGGUAGUUGGUGAGGUAAUGGCUCACCAAGCCGACGAUCGAUAGCUGGUCUGAGAGGAUGAUCAGCCACACUGGGACUGAGAUACGGCCCAGACUCCUACGGGAGGCAGCAGUGGGGAAUAUUGGACAAUGGGGGCAACCCUGAUCCAGCAAUGCCGCGUGAGUGAUGAAGGCCUUCGGGUUGUAAAGCUCUUUUGCCAGGGACGAUGAUGACGGUACCUGGAGAAUAAGCCCCGGCUAACUUCGUGCCAGCCGCCGCGGUAA
RNAcentral lists this ribosomal RNA (479 nucleotides) under uncultured Alphaproteobacteria bacterium. Its description in RNAcentral is "bacterial SSU rRNA". It matches the Rfam family "Bacterial small subunit ribosomal RNA", at positions 8 to 523 of the family's 1533-position model. Lineage: Bacteria; Pseudomonadati; Pseudomonadota; Alphaproteobacteria. The record is from RNAcentral.